RNAcentral lists this long non-coding RNA (543 nucleotides) under Camarhynchus parvulus. Its description in RNAcentral is "lncRNA (ENSCPVG00000017840.1)". The record is from RNAcentral. Lineage: Eukaryota; Metazoa; Chordata; Aves; Passeriformes; Thraupidae.
GCGGGGCACCGGGGGCGCGGAGCCUCCGCCCCGCCGCAGGAGGGAGGCAGGCAGGCAGGGAAGGAGGGAGGUGCCGCCGCCGCGUCCCGGCUCGGGCAGCGGAGCGGCGAGGGGCGGCAGUGGAUUUCACCUGUAAUUCAACUUUCCACACUUGUGUGAAAGCCUUCUGCAGCUUUGAUCAUUCUGAAUUAUUAGCAGCUGGUGUAAAUGACUGCUGCUGCCUCCCAGAGCAAGAUAACCUGCUCAGUCAGCUGGAGCCCCCUGCGGACAGCUGUCUCGCUUUUAGCUGAUGGAAAACUGCUAUAAGCGCUGAAUGGAAGAGCGUGGAGCAGCGACCAUACCGGCACGAGGAGCUGCUGCAGCAGCAGCAGCCGGAGCCAGCGCCAGCGAGGACUCUAUUGUUCCCUGGUGUUAAACAGCUUCUCCUUCCCAACUGCCAUGCACAGCGGCGGGAGAGAGCUUUGCGGUCCCUUUCUUCCCGCGAAGCAAUUCUGAGGAGGGGAGGAUCGUCUGAGGAAGGUUCGGUGGCGGUGCUGCGGGUUC